RNAcentral lists this ribosomal RNA (253 nucleotides) under uncultured bacterium. RNAcentral describes it as "partial 16S ribosomal RNA". It matches the Rfam family "Bacterial small subunit ribosomal RNA", at positions 524 to 776 of the family's 1533-position model. The record is from RNAcentral.
UACGUAGGGGGCAAGCGUUGUCCGGAUUCAUUGGGCGUAAAGAGCGUGUAGGCGGCCAGGUAGGUCGGUUGUGAAAACUGGAGGCUCAACCUUCAGAGGUCGACCGAAACCAUCUGGCUAGAGUCCGGGAGAGGAGAGUGGAAUUCCGGGUGUAGCGGUGAAAUGCGCAGAUAUCAGGAAGAACACCGGUGGCGAAAGCGGCUCUCUGGAACGGUACUGACGCUGAGACGCGAAAGCGUGGGGAGCGAACAGG